This 253-nucleotide ribosomal RNA is filed under the name uncultured bacterium. Its description in RNAcentral is "partial 16S ribosomal RNA". It matches the Rfam family "Bacterial small subunit ribosomal RNA", at positions 524 to 776 of the family's 1533-position model. The record is from RNAcentral.
UACGUAGGGUGCAAGCGUUGUCCGGAAUUAUUGGGCGUAAAGAGCUCGUAGGCGGCUUGUCGCGUCGGCUGUGAAAACCUGGGGCUCAACCCCGGGCCUGCAGCCGAUACGGGCAGACUAGAGUCCGGCAGGGGAGACUGGAAUUCCUGGUGUAGCGGUGAAAUGCGCAGAUAUCAGGAGGAACACCGGUGGCGAAGGCGGGGCUCUGGGCCGGAACUGACGCUGAGGAGCGAAAGCGUGGGGAGCGAACAGG